GGACGAACGCUGGCGGCGUGCUUAACACAUGCAAGUCGAGCGGUAAGGCCCUUUCGGGGGGUACACGAGCGGCGAACGGGUGAGUAACACGUGGGUGACCCGCCUCAGCUCUGGGAGUAAGCCUGGGAAACCGGGGUCUAAUACCGGAUAUGACUCCAUGACGCAUGUUGGUGGGGUGGAAAGCCUUGUGCGGCUGAGGAUGGGCCCGCGGCC
RNAcentral lists this ribosomal RNA (213 nucleotides) under uncultured bacterium. RNAcentral's name for it is "partial 16S ribosomal RNA". It matches the Rfam family "Bacterial small subunit ribosomal RNA", at positions 27 to 238 of the family's 1533-position model. The record is from RNAcentral.